Molecule: ribosomal RNA, 481 nt
Filed under: uncultured bacterium
Lineage: Bacteria
Description: partial 16S ribosomal RNA
Rfam family: Bacterial small subunit ribosomal RNA
Source: RNAcentral
AUUGAACGCUGGCGGCAUGCCUUACACAUGCAAGUCGAACGGUAACGGGCCUUCGGGUGCCGACGAGUGGCGAACGGGUGAGUAAUACAUCGGAACGUGCCCGAUCGUGGGGGAUAACGAGGCGAAAGCUUUGCUAAUACCGCAUACGAUCUACGGAUGAAAGCAGGGGACCGCAAGGCCUUGCGCGGACGGAGCGGCCGAUGGCAGAUUAGGGAGUUGGUGGGAUAAAAGCUUACCAAUCCGACGAUCUGUAGCUGGUCUGAGAGGAUGAUCAGCAACAUUGGGCCUGAGACCCGCCCAGACUCCUACGGGAGGCAGCAGUGGGGAAUUUUGGACAAUGGGCGCAAGCCUGAUCCAGCCAUGCCGCGUGCAGGAUGAAGGCCUUCGGGUUGUAAACUGCUUUUGUACGGAACAAAAAGCCUUCUUUUAAUACAGGAGGGUCAUGACGGUACCGUAAGAAUAAGCACCGGCUAACUACGUG